UGAAUGAUAGUUUAAUGAUAUAGAAGCAUUUAAUUUUAGCUUUUGAAAAUCGACAUUCUGAGUGUUUUUGUAAUGAUGCUGGUUAUCAUGAUAUGAAGUGAGAGUAAAGCAACAGAGCAAUUUAGGUUCAGGAACCGGCACUACAGCAACUGAAAGAAGCAUCCAAAGGGAUAGGAUUCUAACGAUGAUGAUGAUCAUGCUUCUAAGAGAAACCUGGAUGUCAGCCAUCACGUCCUUUUUUGAGGAAUCAGGUGAGAUCUUCAACCAUUUGUUUUUAGAUUAUUCUUCCACUGAUUAAUAUAGUGCUUUCUUCUUUAGCCAGUUUAGGUAUCCAGUUAACUUUAAUUAUUCACUUCUUGAAUAUGGAAUAAUCGGAAUCAUCUCACAAGGACUGAUUAAAAAUGGGCAGUGGUAGAAAAUAAAAAGGGCAGUUAUUGGACCGGUUUUGUGGCUUCUUGGGGAAUCAAGAUUGAAUGUGAUAGCAAAAGUUUUUUGAUAGACCUUCCACCUUGGCUGAUACAGCUCAAAAAGUCCAAGUAAUGGAAGUAUAGAUAUCCCUUGCUGCUGCUGUGGAUCAGACGGGCACCCACUGUAAUAUUGUGUUGAUGAAUUGACAGGUUGUAAUUGAAACCCACAGAGAUGAUGAUGAGGACAUCACUUCACGUGCACCCUUGCGUACGUAUUAGAGGAGGAGGCAGGCCACAGCGAUUUCCCUGUGGCUAGGCGAGUAUCCGUGAUAGUGCUGAAGACCCCAUGAGCAUGUGCGAGCAUCUAGAAGACCCCAAACUGGGAAGAUGCACAUGGGCUACUUUAUGGAGUGAUCCAAACCGUUGGAUCGAAGGGACGUGACGAUCGGGCCGUUGGAUCACAUGAUUGGGACAUUGAUUGUGGAUUGUCCACACCAGUUUUUCUUAGCUUUUAUCAAUUUAUAGUAUUUAGUUUUGUUUAUGUUAUGUUUGAACGCUAUUAUGAGUGUUUUUAGUUGAUUUUAGUUAGGCAAGGGCUAUUUUCGUCAAAAUUUACAAAAUGGGAUGUUUAUUGUAAUUUUUUAACUUUCUUGAAGCUAUAAAAGAGAGUGGGCAUGUGACCCUCUCCCUCAUUGGAUUUUAUGAUUAAGAGAGAGAGAGAGAGAGAGAGAGAGAGAGAGAGAGAGAAGCUCAUGCUUUCUUCUUCCAUCUUCAUGCGAUUUGAAGAUACUUCCAUGCGAUUUGGAAAGGACAUUGGUGUGAGGCUAAUCUUCAUCAACGAAGGUGCGAGGUCUUCAUCUAUCCCCGCGCCUCUUCUCUCUUCUCCUCCAUCAAGGUAUUUUCUUUAAAUUCUUUGAUUCUAUCAUCCUAAGCCUUCAUCAUUUCAUAAAC
Molecule: long non-coding RNA, 1358 nt
Organism: Magnolia sinica
Lineage: Eukaryota; Viridiplantae; Streptophyta; Magnoliopsida; Magnoliales; Magnoliaceae
Exons: 3
Source: RefSeq, a predicted model, not a curated record